This 253-nucleotide ribosomal RNA is filed under the name uncultured bacterium. RNAcentral describes it as "partial 16S ribosomal RNA". It matches the Rfam family "Bacterial small subunit ribosomal RNA", at positions 524 to 776 of the family's 1533-position model. The record is from RNAcentral.
UACAGAGGGCUCAAGCGUUGUUCGGAUUCAUUGGGCGUAAAGGGUGCGUAGGCGGCUCGGUAAGUCGGGUGUGAAAUCUCGGGGCUUAACUCCGAAACUGCAUUCGAUACUGCGGUGCUUGAGGACUGGAGAGGAGACUGGAAUUCAUGGUGUAGCAGUGAAAUGCGUAGAGAUCAUGAGGAAGACCAGUGGCGAAGGCGGGUCUCUGGACAGUUCCUGACACUGAGACACGAAGGCCAGGGGAGCAAACGGG